UUAAUAAUUUUUUUUAUACUUUUAAUAAAGAUUUAUACUUUUCAAUGAAAAAAUUUAAUUUUUUUAUGAAUGCUUAAAUUAUAUUAAGAAAAGAAAAAAUAAUAAUUAAAAAUAGUUGAAAAAAAAUUAUUUGAACUUGGACUCAAUGGCCUAAAGGAAAAAAAAAAGGUAGAUAUGAUGUGGACUGGAUCCGAAAAAAAAUGACCAAAUAUAGAUGUGUUAUUAAUAUUACUUGAUUGCCUUUAAUGAAAUUAGUAAAGAAAAAGACAUGCUAAGGUAAAAAGGACAAUAUUAUCUGCUUUAAUAGUAUAGAUAGGUGGUUGGACGCUUUUGGAGACCUAAAUAAACUUUAUAGGGAUUUCAAAAAAAAAAUCGUAAUGAUUUGAAGCACUAAAAGAAAAUGGAAAGAGGAUCGCUUGAUCCCAUUCCAGACCAGAACUGGAUCUAUCGUUUCAUUGAAAACAAACAAAGUGGUCGGCUCAGCAAACCGCAUCGAUCAAUGCAACUUUCUAAUCGAUCGAUUUAAAAUUGCAAACAAAGUGAUAGAUCGAUGCAACAUCCCAAUUGAUCGAUUGGACGAGCACAAGACGAAGAAAUCUGUCAGGAAAAUAUGCAUUGGUCGAUUGAAAAAUCUCAUCGAUCAAUAGGACCCGCACGAGUUGAGGUGAAAUUUUCCUUUUCCUGUUUUGGUUUUUCCUUUUUCCCAAAAGUAUCCACUGUCUUUAAAUACCCUUAAUGUUCAAACAAGGAAAGCUUAGGAAGCAACGGUCUUUUGUAGUUCACAUGGAUGCAGAUCAUCCGGUUUGGUUUACAGAGUCGGUAUACAUAUGUUGAUGAUAAAAAAAUAAAAAAAGUAAAGGUUCAUAAGGUUAUCGAAGGAGAUUGGGAAAUCUGGGGAGGUGAACUUCACAAAGCACAGUAACUUGUUACUGACUCAAAGCAGGCCUGGGCAUCCGGGUUUUUGGACUGGGUUCGGAUCGGGUCUUGCCGGGUCCUAACAAUUUAGACCCAUGUAGGUACAUAUAAUUUUCCGGAUCGGUUCCAGGUCGGGUCUUAUCGGGUCAGGGUCGGUUUGGAUCUAUAAUUUCAAUACCCGUAAAAUACCCAAAAUUUUCGGGUAUAUUUCGGAUCCGAGUCGGUUCAAGUAUUUAAGACCCGAAAUAGAUCCGAAAUAUCCGAACUUGACCCGAAAACUCUAAAAAUACCUGAAGAACCGCAAAAAUACCCAAAAUUUUAUCCAAAAUCAGACCCGAAAACCCAAAACAUACCCGGAUUUUACCCGAAUACCCGAAUUAUAUUUUCUAAAAAUCUAAAAUUUACCCGAAACCUACAAUUAUACCUAAAAAUCCAGAAACUUUUAAAAAAUCCAAAAUACCAAAAAUAUACCCAAUCACCCAAAUAUACCUAGUAUAUACAAUUAUUUGCGGAUACUUCGGGUACCCGAACGGGUCUCGGGUAGGACCUGGACCCGAACCGAAACCCGCGGGUCCAAAAAAAAAUGACCCAAUAGGUACUUAGCAUGGACCUGGACCCGGACCCGAACCUGUAUUUUUGGGUCAGUUCCGGUUCGGAUCUUCGGGUCCGGGUAAAAUGCCCAGGCCUAACUCAAAGUUCUUUGUUUACUUUCCACACAUGCUAUUGGAUUCGUCUUCACAUUGAUACUUGUUUUAAGGUAUAUCCCUGAAGAAGACUUUGAAAAAGAAGGUUAAUGAUCAUGGCUAUUCUGUAUCUCCAUCCUCUUCAGCUCUCUGUGGUAGUGACUGCAGUUGUGGGUGGGUCCAUUAUGUUUGCAGAGUUCCAUGUGCUUGAUCCAAUGUUCAACAUAGUCUCACCGGAACAGACAUUACUAUCUGUUUCCCUUUUACUGAUGAAACCAAGAGACUUACAGCUUUACAUGGUUCGAUAGAAGAGAUGCUAUAUAGCCCUUAGCAAACUAAUGAGCAUGUGUAAGUGUUGACUUACUUUUGUUUGGUUUUGAGAACUCAUACUAACUUCUUUUUUGUCAAAAAAGUAGUUUUUGGUGGGUUUGUUUAUUUCAAUGGUACAUUGAGCUAUAGGUCGAAGCCAAUACUCUUCUCUAUGGCGAGGCUGGACAAAGUGAAGAACAUCUCGAGUUCAGAUUUUUUUUUUGAUUAAUGUUGGGGCCAAGGAUCAGCAGAUAAUUCAAGCUAUCUAGAAGGCCGAUGGCGGCCAAACUAUUUACAAAACAAUUUGGAGGAGAGGCCAAAGGGAAAACGACAUUGCUUCCUUGUAUUACUAUCAACACCAGAGCUAAAGUAACUGCUUGUGUUACUAUCAACACCAGAGCUAAUCAGUGUAGACUUACUUAAAAGUAUUUUUCUGUAAUUUUAUUGUUUAAAGUAUACACUUGAGACAUAUUGUAAAGUUUUUGUGAUUAGUUUUACUCUUGAAACUUCUUGAGAAUUUUGUAUAGAUUUUCUUUUUCUCACAUGUGUGUUAGUUAUUGUUUUAGCUUAUGGUCGUUUUAACUGUUUGGUUGAUUAGACUAUCUUGUAAAAAAAAACUAAUAAUAUCAUACAAGUGAAACACACCAAUAAAAUGAAUACAACGUCUAUAGAUUAUGCAUCAAAUAAUUAUUUAUCAAUGAAUAUUUUAUAAUAAUAAAUUACUAUAAAGCGAAGAAAAUAGAAAACAUCUAGAGUGUAUUUGAUUAUUCAUAAUCUUGAUGCCUCAAAUGAAGUAUUAGAGAAGAGUAUCUGCAGCAUAAAAUAAAAUUAUGAGAAAAACAUAAGAUAAGAUAAGUAAAUUAAAUUAUAUUUUAGUAGACUUCUUAUGAAGUCUGCGUAAAGUUUAUGGUUUAGUAGAAUUUAGUUGAAGUAUACUAGCCUUAAUUUUUAAGUAGACUUCAUUAGAAGUCUACACUAACGAAAAAUUUUCAGAUCUAAAAAUGUACAUUUAGAAAAUUUGAAAAUAGUUUGUUCUGGAAAAUAUUUCAAAAUAUUUUUUUUUCCUAACCUAAUAGCAAAGCAAAAACAUAGAGUUUGAAUCUAUAAAUUUAGUUCAAUAUAACAAACAAAAAUACAGAUUUAAAAUGAAUAGAUGUAAAUCUUACACUUUUUGGGAAGAUGAUUUGAAAACUUGUGAAGAGAAAACCUACAAAAUAAGAUAAAAUUAUGAGAAAAGUAUAAGAUAAAAAAUGUAUUUAAAUAUAAAUACAAAAAAACAUGCUUAAAAUCUAUAGAUGAAAAUCUUACAUUUUGGAGAGGAGGAGAUAAAAAAAAUGGAAGAAAAUACCUGAAAAAUAAGAUAAAAUUAUUAAAAAACAUAUGAAAAAAGUUAGUCAUAUUUUGUAAACUGCAAUGAAGUCUGCUUAAAAUUUGUGGUUUAGUAGACUUCAUUUGGAGUAUACUAGCUUUAACUUAUCAGCAGACUUCAUUAUAAUUCUAUUUUAUCCCAUAAUUCCAGAUUUGAAAGAAAAAUCUGUACAUUUAGAAAUGUGAAAAAUAAUUUUAAAUCUGAAAAACUUCAAAAAUAGUAGCAGCACAAAGUUUGGAUCUAUAAUUUUAUUUGAAUAGAAACAUUAAAUACACAUUUAAAAUAUAUAGAUCUAGAACUUAUAUUUUUAGAGGGGAAGAUGAAAACCAUGAAUGAUAAUAUCUCCAAAAACAAUAUGAUAUUGUGAGAAAGACAUGAGAAAAAAAUUAACAAUUUAAACAAAAGUUUUUCUUUAUGUUCAAAGAAUUUAGAGAGAAAUGAGAGAAUUUUAUAGAGAAUGGAGAGAGUUUUAGAAACUUAUUCAGCUAUUUUAGGAGAGAUUAUGUAAAUUUCAUUUAUAUAGGUAGACAUAAAUUGUAACUAGGUUAAAAUUUACGAUAUUGUAGACUUUCUUAAAGUCUACUAAAAUUAAAAUUGUGGAUUAAACUUUAUUGUAAGUCUAGUAGAUUUUUUUUGGAAGUCUACUAUGAUAGUUUCAUUAUUGUUGUUCAUUCUUGGGAAAUUGCCACAAAUAGCACAUUCAUAGUACCACUUUUCAUGUUUACACUAACCACUUUUACCCUUACUUUUAAUGAAGGG
This is a long non-coding RNA of Brassica napus (rape), 4035 nucleotides long. RefSeq lists it as uncharacterized. NCBI's taxonomy places the organism in Eukaryota, Viridiplantae, Streptophyta, Magnoliopsida, Brassicales, Brassicaceae. The record is from RefSeq and is a predicted model, not a curated record. The transcript has 2 exons.